RNAcentral lists this long non-coding RNA (1148 nucleotides) under Hordeum vulgare. Its description in RNAcentral is "long non-coding RNA (HVUL_LNC013299)". The record is from RNAcentral. Lineage: Eukaryota; Viridiplantae; Streptophyta; Magnoliopsida; Poales; Poaceae.
UUCACAUUGCAAUAAAAUUACUGCAUCAUUUAGAUUCUUUAUUUGUCCCUUUGCAUUCUUUCUACAACACGUUAUCAACGCAUAGGCUCUACCAAGAGAGCAAAUUGACGACAGAAAAAAAGAUCUGUCGCGUGUAUGCGCUAAGACGCUCGACCACUACGCCGCUCAAUCCAGCGCGGCAGCACAACGCCACUCAAUCGGCCGAUCACAGUGGCAACAAAAUCACGUGAUGGCACGAUUGCGCAGGGACAUGCAGCAACAGCGCCUCGGAGCAUGCAUGAGAUUAAUCAAUUUUGGUUGUCUUCUUGCGAUUAAAAGAUACUGAGUAAGAAGAUCUGAUCCAUUGUGUUUUCUUACGAGAAUUUCUUCAUCUCUUCAUCGAUUCAAUCACGAAGAGGCCGACUGCAUGGAAACAGCAAUGCCAUUGGGGCCGAUGGCUGCCGAUGCCUGGACGAGGAGCCGGAUCAUCGAACUAGGGAUGUGUUCCUUCAACAAAGGCGACGAAUCAGUUCCUAUUCGUCCACAACAAAAGGAUCAGCAUGCAUGCAUCCGCACGGGAUCCGCAUACAUGCAUCCGCACGGGAGAAAACAAUCAGGAGAACACUUAUUUGAUUUCCUUUCUCUGGUCAUACAAGGAUUUAUCCACUCACAUGCAUCCGUAUAAUAAAUUGAUUAGAAGAAAGUAGCCCAUACAAUUAAGAUCUACUAAUCACUAUUGUGCAAUUUCUAUUCAUCUGUGAUGUAUGUACUCAUAGCUUGGAUCGAGCGUGUGCUAGUUCAAGAAAAAAAAGGGGAAGAUCUUCACCUAAGCGACCUGGUACGGAGCAGUCAAGAGCAGCGGACUACUUAAUACUCGUACACGGCAACAUAGAUGGAUUCGCAUCCUCCGGUCAUGAGCCUCGGUCCCGUCACAGUGCAAUAGCGUCUGCAUCCCGACACAACCGCGCCAAGACAAAAGACCAUGUGUGAGGUUAGUUCUGCAAGGCAACGCGCUCCGACGCAAAAGUGGGCGCUCAUAGCCGCGGCCUCUCGGCGGUGUGGAAUGGCCGGUACCCCGUCGAGCGGUGCCCUUCAGCCAGAUGGCCUCAAUCUCUAGGCUACUCGCGGCGAUUAAGAGGAAAUUCCUCUCAUGAAUUUGUAACCGCACG